This 440-nucleotide ribosomal RNA is filed under the name uncultured bacterium. RNAcentral's name for it is "partial 16S ribosomal RNA". It matches the Rfam family "Bacterial small subunit ribosomal RNA", at positions 338 to 795 of the family's 1533-position model. The record is from RNAcentral.
CCUACGGGAGGCAGCAGUGGGGAAUAUUGCACAAUGGGGGAAACCCUGAUGCAGCGACGCCGCGUGAGUGAAGAAGGAAUUCGGUAUGUAAAGCUCUAUCAGCAGGGAAGAAAAUUACGGUACCUGAGUAAUAAUCCCCGGCGAACUACGUUCAAGCAGCCGCGGUAAUACGUAGGGGGCAAGCGUUAUCCGGAUUUACUGGGUGUAAAGGGAGCGUAGACGGCAGUGCAAGUCGGGAGUGAAAGGCGGGGGCUCAACCCCAGGACUGCUCUGGAAACUGUACGGCUGGAGUGCAGGAGAGGGAAGUGGAAUUCCUAGUGUAGCGGUGAAAUGCGUAGAUAUUAGGAGGAACCCCAGUGGCGAAGGCGGCCUACUGGACCGUAACUGACGUUGAUGCUCGAAAGCGUGGGGAGCAAACAGGAUUAGAUACCCCAGUAGUC